Molecule: ribosomal RNA, 436 nt
Filed under: uncultured bacterium
Lineage: Bacteria
Description: partial 16S ribosomal RNA
Rfam family: Bacterial small subunit ribosomal RNA
Source: RNAcentral
GAUGAACGCUGGCGGUCUGCUUAACACAUGCAAGUCGAACGGGCUCUUUCGGGAGCUAGUGGCGGACGGGUGAGUAACGAGUGAGAAUCUGCCCUUUGGAGGGCGAUAACGGUUGGAAACGACAGCUAAUACCCCAUGUGCCGAGAGGGAAAAAGUAAUUCGCCCAGGGAUGGGCUCGCGUCGGAUUAGCUAUGUGGUGGCGUAAUAGCCCACCAAGGCGACGAUCCGUAGCUGGUCUGAGAGGAUGACAAGCCACACUGGGACUGAGACACGGCCCAGACUCCUUCGGGAGGCAGCAGUAAGGAAGAUGCCGCAAUGGGCGCAAGCCUGACAGAGCAAGACCGCGUGAGGGAAGUCUGUCUGGGGAUUGUAAACCUCGUUUGACAGGGUGGAAGUACUGACGGUACCUGUCGAAUCAGCCACGGCUAACUCCGUG